GUCCUCACUUUGGCAGCACAUAGACUAAAACUGAAAGGACACAGAGAAGAUUAACAUGGCCCCUCUGCAAGGAUGACAUGCAAAUUCGUGAAGUGUUCCAUUAAAAA
Molecule: small nuclear RNA, 107 nt
Organism: Monodelphis domestica (gray short-tailed opossum)
Lineage: Eukaryota; Metazoa; Chordata; Mammalia; Didelphimorphia; Didelphidae
Source: Ensembl